This 329-nucleotide ribosomal RNA is filed under the name uncultured eukaryote. RNAcentral's name for it is "partial 18S ribosomal RNA". It matches the Rfam family "Eukaryotic small subunit ribosomal RNA", at positions 1470 to 1796 of the family's 1831-position model. The record is from RNAcentral.
CCCUUAGAUGUUCUGGGCCGCACGCGCGCUACACUGAUGCAUUCAACGAGUCUAAAACCUGCUCUGAUAGGGGUGGGUAAUCUUUUGAAUGUGCAUCGUGAUUGGGAUAGAUGAUUGCAAUUUUUCAUCUUCAACGAGGAAUGCCUAGUAAACGCAAGUCAUCAGCUUGCAUUGAUUACGUCCCUGCCCUUUGUACACACCGCCCGUCGCUCCUACCGAUUGAAUGAUCCGAUGAAUAUCAUGGAUUGAGGAUGUAAGCAGGUUCGCCUGUCUUCAUCUUCGAGAAGUGAAGUAAAUCUUAUCAUUUAGAGGAAGGAGAGGUCGUAACA